RNAcentral lists this ribosomal RNA (301 nucleotides) under uncultured bacterium. Its description in RNAcentral is "partial 16S ribosomal RNA". It matches the Rfam family "Bacterial small subunit ribosomal RNA", at positions 509 to 807 of the family's 1533-position model. The record is from RNAcentral.
CAGUAGCCGCGGUAAUACAGAGGGUGCGAGCGUUAAUCGGAUUUACUGGGCGUAAAGCGUGCGUAGGAGGCUUCUUAAGUCGGAUGUGAAAUCCCUGAGCUUAACUUAGGAAUUGCAUUCGAUACUGGGAAGCUAGAGUAUGGGAGAGGAUGGUAGAAUUCCAGGUGUAGCGGUGAAAUGCGUAGAGAUCUGGAGGAAUACAGAUGGCGAAGGCAGCCAUCUGGCCUAAUACUGACGCUGAGGUACGAAAGCAUGGGGAGCAAACAGGAUUAGAUACCCCUGUAGUCCCUGUCUCUUAUAC